ACAGCAGCAGCCACGGUAAUACGGAGGGAGCUAGCGUUGUUCGGAAUUACUGGGCGUAAAGCGCGCGUAGGCGGUUACUCAAGUCAGAGGUGAAAGCCCGGGGCUCAACCCCGGAACUGCCUUUGAAACUAGGUGACUAGAAUCUUGGAGAGGUCAGUGGAAUUCCGAGUGUAGAGGUGAAAUUCGUAGAUAUUCGGAAGAAUACCAGUGGCGAAGGCGACUGACUGGACAAGUAUUGACGCUGAGGUGCGAAAGCGUGGGGAGCAAACAGGAUUAGAUACCCCCGUAGUCCCUGUCUCUUAUAA
RNAcentral lists this ribosomal RNA (305 nucleotides) under uncultured bacterium. Its description in RNAcentral is "partial 16S ribosomal RNA". It matches the Rfam family "Bacterial small subunit ribosomal RNA", at positions 506 to 809 of the family's 1533-position model. The record is from RNAcentral.